CAGUCGCCGCGGUAAUACGGAGGGUGCAAGCGUUAAUCGGAAUUACUGGGCGUAAAGCGCACGCAGGCGGUCUGACAAGUCAGAUGUGAAAUCCCCGGGCUUAACCUGGGAACUGCAUUUGAAACUGUCAGGCUGGAGUCUUGUAGAGGGGGGUGGAAUUCCAGGUGUAGCGGUGAAAUGCGUAGAGAUCUGGAGGAAUACCGGUGGCGAAGGCGGCCCCCUGGACAAAGACUGACGCUCAGGUGCGAAAGCGUGGGGAGCAAACAGGAUUAGAUACCCCUGUGUCCCUGUCUCUUAUACA
This 301-nucleotide ribosomal RNA is filed under the name uncultured bacterium. RNAcentral's name for it is "partial 16S ribosomal RNA". It matches the Rfam family "Bacterial small subunit ribosomal RNA", at positions 509 to 808 of the family's 1533-position model. The record is from RNAcentral.